GGGGAAUAUUGGACAAUGGGCGAAAGCCUGAUCCAGCCAUGCCGCGUGUGUGAAGAAGGCCUUCGGGUCGUAAAGCACUUUAAGUUGGGAGGAAGGGCUUACAGCGAAUACCUGUGAGUUUUGACGUUACCGACAGAAUAAGCACCGGCUAACUUCGUGCCAGCAGCCGCGGUAAUACGAAGGGUGCAAGCGUUAAUCGGAAUUACUGGGCGUAAAGCGCGCGUAGGUGGCUUGAUAAGUUGGAUGUGAAAUCCCCGGGCUCAACCUGGGAACUGCAUCCAAAACUGUCUGGCUAGAGUGCGGUAGAGGGUAGUGGAAUUUCCAGUGUAGCGGUGAAAUGCGUAGAUAUUGGAAGGAACACCAGUGGCGAAGGCGACUACCUGGACUGACACUGACACUGAGGUGCGAAAGCGUGGGGAGCAAAC
This 425-nucleotide ribosomal RNA is filed under the name uncultured bacterium. RNAcentral describes it as "bacterial SSU rRNA". It matches the Rfam family "Bacterial small subunit ribosomal RNA", at positions 356 to 773 of the family's 1533-position model. The record is from RNAcentral.